GGCCUAGUGGCACAAGGUGUGCAUCUGCCCUCAAUACCCCGCUCACAGGACAAUUCCGUAGACAUCCCUGGUUCGAUUCCAGGCUAGGUCA
Mycena galericulata is the source of this 91-nucleotide non-coding RNA. The record is from the annotation of a GenBank genome assembly. Lineage: Eukaryota; Fungi; Basidiomycota; Agaricomycetes; Agaricales; Mycenaceae.